Molecule: ribosomal RNA, 1246 nt
Filed under: Pseudarthrobacter oxydans
Lineage: Bacteria; Bacillati; Actinomycetota; Actinomycetes; Micrococcales; Micrococcaceae
Description: bacterial SSU rRNA
Rfam family: Bacterial small subunit ribosomal RNA
Source: RNAcentral
AGUGGCGAACGGGUGAGUAACACGUGAGUAACCUGCCCUUAACUCUGGGAUAAGCCUGGGAAACUGGGUCUAAUACCGGAUAUGACUCCUCAUCGCAUGGUGGGGGGUGGAAAGCUUUUUGUGGUUUUGGAUGGACUCGCGGCCUAUCAGCUUGUUGGUGAGGUAAUGGCUUACCAAGGCGACGACGGGUAGCCGGCCUGAGAGGGUGACCGGCCACACUGGGACUGAGACACGGCCCAGACUCCUACGGGAGGCAGCAGUGGGGAAUAUUGCACAAUGGGCGAAAGCCUGAUGCAGCGACGCCGCGUGAGGGAUGACGGCCUUCGGGUUGUAAACCUCUUUCAGUAGGGAAGAAGCGAAAGUGACGGUACCUGCAGAAGAAGCGCCGGCUAACUACGUGCCAGCAGCCGCGGUAAUACGUAGGGCGCAAGCGUUAUCCGGAAUUAUUGGGCGUAAAGAGCUCGUAGGCGGUUUGUCGCGUCUGCCGUGAAAGUCCGGGGCUCAACUCCGGAUCUGCGGUGGGUACGGGCAGACUAGAGUGAUGUAGGGGAGACUGGAAUUCCUGGUGUAGCGGUGAAAUGCGCAGAUAUCAGGAGGAACACCGAUGGCGAAGGCAGGUCUCUGGGCAUUAACUGACGCUGAGGAGCGAAAGCAUGGGGAGCGAACAGGAUUAGAUACCCUGGUAGUCCAUGCCGUAAACGUUGGGCACUAGGUGUGGGGGACAUUCCACGUUUUCCGCGCCGUAGCUAACGCAUUAAGUGCCCCGCCUGGGGAGUACGGCCGCAAGGCUAAAACUCAAAGGAAUUGACGGGGGCCCGCACAAGCGGCGGAGCAUGCGGAUUAAUUCGAUGCAACGCGAAGAACCUUACCAAGGCUUGACAUGAACCGGUAACGCCUGGAGACAGGUGCCCCGCUUGCGGUCGGUUUACAGGUGGUGCAUGGUUGUCGUCAGCUCGUGUCGUGAGAUGUUGGGUUAAGUCCCGCAACGAGCGCAACCCUCGUUCUAUGUUGCCAGCACGUGAUGGUGGGGACUCAUAGGAGACUGCCGGGGUCAACUCGGAGGAAGGUGGGGACGACGUCAAAUCAUCAUGCCCCUUAUGUCUUGGGCUUCACGCAUGCUACAAUGGCCGGUACAAAGGGUUGCGAUACUGUGAGGUGGAGCUAAUCCCAAAAAGCCGGUCUCAGUUCGGAUUGGGGUCUGCAACUCGACCCCAUGAAGUCGGAGUCGCUAGUAAUCGCAGAUCAG